UAUGUGAUCGUCUCUCGCAUAUCAAUAAGCGGAGGAAAAGAAACUAACAAGGAUUCCCCUAGUAACGGCGAGUGAAGCGGGAAGAGCUCAAAUUUGAAAUCUUAAAGGGUUUCCCCUUACGAAUUGUAGUUUAAAGAAGUGUUUUCUGUUGAGGUUUUGGUAAAGGUUCUUUGGAAUAGGACAUCAUAGAGGGUGAGAAUCCCGUAUUUGACCUUUACUUUCAACUUUGUGAUACACUUUCAAAGAGUCGGAUUGUUUGGGAAUGCAGUCCAAAAUGGGUGGUAAAUUUCAUCUAAAGCUAAAUAUUGGCGAGAGACCGAUAGCGAUCAAGUACCGUGAGGGAAAGAUGAAAAGAACUUUGAAAAGAGAGUUAAACAGUACGUGAAAUUGUCAAAAGGGAAGCGUUUGACACCAGUGUUGUUUUUCUGAAAAUCAAUUAAAGAACUGUUUAUGCUAAGUUGUUUAGACUUUAUCAGCUAUCUGUUUAGUUUUGAGCUCUUCUUUAAUGCACUUUUCAGUUAACAAGUCAACAUCAAUUUCUUUUGCUGUAAAAAAGCUUGAGGAAGGUGGCUUGAGAUUCGUCUUAAGUGUUUAUAGCCUCUUGCCUAUGCAGUCGGAGAGAUUGAGGUCUGCAGCGUAGAUCCUUCGGGGCUAAAUGCAUUUGUGCUAAGUUAUAGCAUUUUAUAGACAACUUGUUGACUAUGAUUUGUCUUGUAGCUUACUCGCUUAUGUUAUUUUACCUACGCUUAGGAUGUUGACACACGCGCGUGCUCG
This 774-nucleotide ribosomal RNA is filed under the name uncultured Neocallimastigales. RNAcentral describes it as "partial large subunit ribosomal RNA". It matches the Rfam family "Eukaryotic large subunit ribosomal RNA", at positions 24 to 643 of the family's 3401-position model. Lineage: Eukaryota; Fungi; Neocallimastigomycota; Neocallimastigomycetes; Neocallimastigales. The record is from RNAcentral.